AAACAAAAUUAAAAUAUGCUACGAUGAACUGGCAGCUUAAAACGAGCUUAUUAAUACUUUACUUAUAUCUCCUAUCUGAUUGGCUAACCAAUCUUCUAAAAUUAUCUCAGUUCUCUCAGUAAUUUCUAAAAAUAUCUCGGUUCUCUCAUUAAUUUCUAAAAAUAUCUCUCUCUGGUUUCUCAAUUUGUAUUCUAUUAAUAUCCCACCUGACGUAGGCAGGAAUUAUUUAUCGUAUAAACUACAAUUUAAAUCUUUAAAUUACCA
RNAcentral lists this long non-coding RNA (264 nucleotides) under Mytilus galloprovincialis (Mediterranean mussel). The record is from RNAcentral. Lineage: Eukaryota; Metazoa; Mollusca; Bivalvia; Mytilida; Mytilidae.